AAUCCUUAUCAGUGUCCCGACUGCUCAGGAGGGUCCUGCCUUGGACAUCAUGGCAACUGACCUCGUCCGCAGAUACAGCAAUGCUGGUGUGGCUCCUCCUCGGCUACUUUAUGUAGACUGUGACUUUUGUCGGGAGGGCAGAGGACAGACCAAAUUGAAAGAAAGAUUUGGUGGGUGGCCAGAUCUGGUUGUCAAGCUUGACAUCUACCACUUCAUGCGGCGACUGGCAUCUGGAUGUACAAAGGAUGCACAUCCUCUGUAUCCUGUCUUUACGGCUAAACUGUCCAGCUGUAUUUUUGAGUGGGACAGAGGAGAUGUUGCCUUGCUGCGGCAAGCCAAGCGGGAGCAGCUGCGACAGGAAGGUGUCCCUGGCAUCACUGAAAAUCUAAUUGACCAGCAGAUCACCAAGGAGGAACUGGCCCUGCACUGUAGAAGGCAGACAAGAGGAGAGCAGCAGACCAUUGUCAUGAUUGCACAGCUUCUUAACGAGUUGAUCGGGGUCGAGGGCAGAGAUUUUCUUGGUGUCCCUCUUUUGGACCAGGAGAGGAUGCAGCACAUCUGGCAAGUCCAGCAGAGGCAUGUUAAGUGCAUUUAGGACGAACCAGGUGUGCUCCUCUACAGUCAGACUGGGACGACCACCAAGGCAGGCAUUGUCCUACCGAACUACAGGUGUGCCAGAGGUUCCACAUCUCUUGAGUCUUUUCACUUACAUGUGAACAGGUUCAUUCCAGAACAAGUGCCAACAGCUUGAAUUUCCAGCUGUACCUCCUGGAAGGACUCAAUAGAUGGAACCAGGACCAUGAAGCUGCAUCCCUGGCAGUCAACCCUCCCUCCCUGCUCAGUUACUCAGGAGACCUUGUUCACUGCGUGAACGCACACAGUGUCAGGGUGCUUGGAAGGAAGCUUGUCCCCUCUUUUCAGCCACCUGCUGUUUACACUGGGGAGCUAAUAGGUAUAGAUGACCUAUUCCGUCAGACUGGAAAGGCCUUGCAGGAUGUACAUCCUGACUCAGAGGAGACUGAUCAGAUGCUGGAGGAUGUCGGCACCGAGGAGGAGCUGGAAGAUGAGGGCUUUGAAGAUACUGUGUGAAUGACAGCGGGUUGGUUCAUACUGCUACCUGGGGACCGGUCAUUGUUGUGUAGCGUCAGAGAAAAUGCGGCGGCAGGAAGGGGAGGAAGUGAUUAAUUAGAUGACAUGAUCCACCAGUGUUUUCCUUUCACACUGCUGGUACUGCUCACCUGUUGUCCGCUGCGGUGGCGUGCUGCUCACCUUCUCUUUGUUUGAUGAUGUCCAGGAUGUACUCGGAGAAACAGACGAUCCUCUAGAAGACUCGUACCUUGAUGUUCCUCUAAUAUUUUAGCCCCCGUGGUUGUGGAACGAGUUUUCACGGUGCUCGACAUAAAUAAAAUAUACGCACCAGUAUGAAACUCUCCGCCUCAGUCAUUGGUACCAAGGGCCAGCUACAUACUGGUUUAGACCCAACCGUUGAAGUACUGGACCUGUCCUCUGAACCUUCAUCUGUCACCACCAGCUCAGCCCACAUUCCAACUCCCACCUUCCUUCAGGCCUCUGCUGGUCCUGCAUCUGCUAUUGCUCCAGCAUCACCUGAGCAACCACUGGCAAUAAUUCUUGUCAUGUUUUUAUUGUACUAUGUCUGUAUUUGCUUAUGAUUUUUUAUUUUUAUUGUAUAAUAAUGAUAAUAUUAAACUUUAUUUGUAUACCACUUUUCAUACACAAGUUAACAAAGUGCUUCACAGAAAUACAUGGAAAAACUACAUAACGCCAUCGAGAAAUAAGAACGUAGAUAAAAGGCAAUGAUAAAACUCUAGUUAAAUGCAGUUUUAUAAGAAUUCGUUUUUAAAAGAGUAUUACAUUUUGCAGAUUGUGCAUGAGAGCACAGAUAGUCACUCUGGCCCAUCAGCCCUCCCUACCGGCUCUGCACCUGUCCUCCCAACUCCCGCCGGCCUUCCAGCUACCACGCCCGCUGCAACUGCUUGUCCCUUUUUUCACCACCCAUCACCCUUGCCCCACCUCAACAACAGCUGGCUUUCAAUUUGCUGAGCAAGAGGUCCUCAACCACCAGCUCAGCCUCUGUCCCUCUUCUCCCCACCACCCUCACAACCACUUUCUCUUCUGCUACAGCUACUGCUGGGUCACAAACCAUCACCCCGGCCGCACCUGAGCAACAGCCUAUUUUGUAUGAGCGCAACACCACGUCCUCUGGCCCAAGAGCUGUCAUCCCCAGCACAGCCUCUGCCCCUCCCAACAUCACCAUCCUACCAGCUACUCUCGCCACUCAAACUGCUGGUCCCUCUGGGGAACCUGCCCUGACCCCAGCAGCACCUGAGCAACAGCUGGCUGUUGAUUAGCGCUGUAUUCCAGGGAUGGACCGAGUGGACAGCCUGGCAGAGUACUUGGUGGGGCUGAGGAGUGAAACUGGCCAAACACUCAGCAACCA
This is a long non-coding RNA of Seriola aureovittata, 2458 nucleotides long. RefSeq lists it as uncharacterized. Lineage: Eukaryota; Metazoa; Chordata; Actinopteri; Carangiformes; Carangidae. The transcript has 8 exons. The record is from RefSeq and is a predicted model, not a curated record.